RNAcentral lists this transfer RNA (90 nucleotides) under Enterobacteriaceae endosymbiont of Plateumaris braccata. RNAcentral's name for it is "tRNA-Leu". It matches the Rfam family "tRNA". From Rfam's summary of the family: Transfer RNA (tRNA) molecules are approximately 80 nucleotides in length. The record is from RNAcentral. Lineage: Bacteria; Pseudomonadati; Pseudomonadota; Gammaproteobacteria; Enterobacterales; Enterobacteriaceae.
GCCCAGAUGGUGGAAUUGGUAGACACAAGGGACUUAAAAUCCCUCGACAUAUAUAUUGUUGUGCGGGUUCAAUUCCCGCUCUGGGUACCA